AACUUUGCACAGUGGCAGUAUCAUAGCCAAUGAGGUUUAUCUGAGGUGCAAUUAUUGCUAAUUUUAAAAAAAAUUAGAACUUAUUCACUUUCAGCUAGGGAAUGUUACAGGACAAUAUAUACAUUUUUGCUAGUCAUAUCUGCCACAGUUCAUCUGAUAAGGUGA
Molecule: small nuclear RNA, 165 nt
Filed under: Myotis lucifugus (little brown bat)
Lineage: Eukaryota; Metazoa; Chordata; Mammalia; Chiroptera; Vespertilionidae
Description: U4 spliceosomal RNA
Rfam family: U4 spliceosomal RNA (bases 1-144)
About the family: U4 small nuclear RNA (U4 snRNA) is a component of the major U2-dependent spliceosome. The structure of U4 snRNA from yeast and human has been reported. U4 snRNA presents a k-turn RNA motif in the 5p-SL related to recognition of Snu13 protein.
Source: Rfam by way of RNAcentral